GAAGUUCAGGUAACACUGAAUGGAGGACCGAACCGACUUACGUUGAAAAGUGAGCGGAUGAACUGAGGGUAGCGGAGAAAUUCCAAUCGAACCUGGAGAUAGCUGGUUCUCUCCGAAAUAGCUUUAGGGCUAGCCUCAAGUGAUGAUUAUUGGAGGUAGAGCACUGUUUGGACGAGGGGCCCCUCUCGGGUUACCGAAUUCAGACAAACUCCGAAUGCCAAUUAAUUUAACUUGGGAGUCAGAACAUGGGUGAUAAGGUCCGUGUUCGAAAGGGAAACAGCCCAGACCACCAGCUAAGGUCCCAAAAUAUAUGUUAAGUGGAAAAGGAUGUGGCGUUGCCCAGACAACUAGGAUGUUGGCUUAGAAGCAGCCAUCAUUUAAAGAGUGCGUAAUAGCUCACUAGUCGAGUGACACUGCGCCGAAAAUGUACCGGGGCUAAACAUAUUACCGAAGCUGUGGAUUGUCCUUUGGACAAUGGUAGGAGAGCGUUCUAAGGGCGUUGAAGCAU
RNAcentral lists this ribosomal RNA (508 nucleotides) under Staphylococcus aureus. RNAcentral's name for it is "partial 23S ribosomal RNA". It matches the Rfam family "Bacterial large subunit ribosomal RNA", at positions 747 to 1258 of the family's 2925-position model. The record is from RNAcentral. Lineage: Bacteria; Bacillati; Bacillota; Bacilli; Caryophanales; Staphylococcaceae.